GCACAAGCAGCGGAGCGUGUGGUUUAAUUCGAAGAUACACGAAGAACCUUACCAGGUCUUGACAUACCAUUGACAGGCGCAGAGAUGUGCUCUCCUUCGGGCAAUGGAUGCAGGUGGUGCAUGGUUGUCGUCAGCUCGUGCCGUGAGGUGUUGGGUUAAGUCCCGCAACGAGCGCAACCCUCAUUGUUAGUUACUACCAUUCAGUUGAGGACUCUAAUGAGACUGCCAACGAUAAGUUGGAGGAAGGUGGGGAUGACGUCAAAUCAUCAUGCCCUUUAUGACCUGGGCUACAAACGUACUACAAUGGCCAAUACAAAGAGAUGCGAAGCGGUGACGUGGAGCGAACCUCAGAAAGUUGGUCUCAGUUCAGAUUGAAGUCUGCAACUCGACUUCAUGAAGGCGGAAUCGCUAGUAAUCGCGGGUCAGCAGACCGCGGUGAAUACGUUCCCGGGUCUU
Molecule: ribosomal RNA, 456 nt
Filed under: uncultured Mollicutes bacterium
Lineage: Bacteria; Bacillati; Mycoplasmatota; Mollicutes
Description: bacterial SSU rRNA
Rfam family: Bacterial small subunit ribosomal RNA
Source: RNAcentral